RNAcentral lists this ribosomal RNA (253 nucleotides) under uncultured microorganism. Its description in RNAcentral is "partial 16S ribosomal RNA". It matches the Rfam family "Bacterial small subunit ribosomal RNA", at positions 524 to 776 of the family's 1533-position model. The record is from RNAcentral.
UACGGAGGGUGCAAGCGUUAAUCGGAAUUACUGGGCGUAAAGCGCGCGUAGGUGGCUUGAUAAGCCGGUUGUGAAAGCCCCGGGCUCAACCUGGGAACGGCAUCCGGAACUGUCAGGCUAGAGUGCAGGAGAGGAAGGUAGAAUUCCCGGUGUAGCGGUGAAAUGCGUAGAGAUCGGGAGGAAUACCAGUGGCGAAGGCGGCCUUCUGGCUGAUAACUGACGCUGAGGUGCGAGAGCGUGGGGAGCAAACAGG